RNAcentral lists this ribosomal RNA (1118 nucleotides) under uncultured bacterium. Its description in RNAcentral is "partial 16S ribosomal RNA". It matches the Rfam family "Bacterial small subunit ribosomal RNA", at positions 267 to 1399 of the family's 1533-position model. The record is from RNAcentral.
ACCAAGGCGACGAUCAGUAGCCGGCCUGAGAGGGUGAACGGCCACAUUGGGACUGAGACACGGCCCAAACUCCUACGGGAGGCAGCAGUGGGGGAUAUUGCACAAUGGGGGAAACCCUGAUGCAGCGACGCCGCGUGAGUGAUGAAGUAUUUCGGUAUGUAAAGCUCUAUCAGCAGGGAAGAAAAUGACGGUACCUGACUAAGAAGCACCGGCUAAAUACCUGCCAGCAGCCGCGGUAAUACGUAUGGUGCAAGCGUUAUCCGGAUUUACUGGGUGUAAAGGGAGCGUAGACGGACGGAUAAGUAUGAUGUGAAAGGUGGGGGCUCAACCCCCAAACUGCAUUGGAAACUGGUCAUCUAGAGUGUCGGAGAGGUAAGUGGAAUUCCUAGUGUAGCGGUGAAAUGCGUAGAUAUUAGGAGGAACACCAGUGGCGAAGGCGGCUUACUGGACGAUAACUGACGUUGAGGCUCGAAAGCGUGGGGAGCAAACAGGAAAAGAUACCCUGGUAGUCCACGCGGUAAACGAUGAAUAUUAGGUGUAGGGUGUAUUAAGCUUCCCAGUGCCCGCAGCAAACCCAUUAAUUAUUCCACCCUGGGGGGGAGGUUCCGAAGAAGAAAAAUCAAAGGAAUGAAGGGGGGCCCCCCCAACCGGGGGAGCAGGUGGUUUCUUUGGUAGGCAACGCGAGGAACCUUCCCAAAUCUUGACAUCCCGCGGACCAUCCGAGUAGGGCAGUCUCUUUUUGGAGCACCGGCGACAGGUGGUGCACGGUUGUGGUCAGCUCGUGUCGUGGGAGGGUGGGGUAAGUCCCGCAACGAGCGCACCCCCUCUCUUUAGUAGCCAGCAGUUCGGCUGGGCACUCUAGGGAGACCCCCGGGGAGAACCCGGAGGAAGGGGGGGGGGACGUCAAAUCAUCAUGCCCCUUAUGAUUUGGGCUACACACGUGCUACAAUGGCGUAAACAAAGAGACGCAGAGUCGUGAGGCCGAGCAAAUCUCAAAAAUAACGUCUCAGUUCGGAUUGUAGUCUGCAACUCGACUACAUGAAGCGGGAAUCGCUAGUAAUCGCGAAUCAGAAUGUGGCGGGGAAUACGUUCCCGGGUCUUGCACUCACCCCCCGUCA